Molecule: ribosomal RNA, 549 nt
Filed under: uncultured bacterium
Lineage: Bacteria
Description: bacterial SSU rRNA
Rfam family: Bacterial small subunit ribosomal RNA
Source: RNAcentral
AGCGGCGAAAGGGGGCGUAACACGUGGGCAAUCUACCAAGAAGUGGGGGAUAGCUCGGCGAAAGCCGAAUUAAUACCGCAUGUGAUGAGGGAAGACAUCUUUCCGAAAUCAAAGGUGGCGCAAGCUACCGCUUUUUGUGGGGCCCGCGGCCUAUCAGCUUGUUGGUGAGGUAACGGCUCACCAAGGCUAUGACGGGUAGCUGGUCUGAGAGGACGACCAGUCACACUGGGACUGAGACACGGCCCAGACACCUACGGGUGGCAGCAGUCGAGAAUUUUUGACAAUGGGGGAAACCCUGAUCGAGCGACGCCGCGUGGAGGAUGAAGGUCUUCGGGUUGUAAACUCCUGUCAUUUGGGAACAAGGCGUACGUAUUAACUGUGCGUGCGUUGAUAGUACCAGAAGAGGAAGAGACGGCUAACUCUGUGCCAGCAGCCGCGGUAAUACAGAGGUCUCAAGCGUUGUUCGGAUUCAUUGGGCGUAAAGGGUGUGUAGGUGGCGCGCUAAGUCGGGUGUGAAAUUUCGGAGCUUAACUCCGAAACUGCAUUCGA